UGCCGGCCCCUGGCAGCUGCUGAGGCCACCGGCGUGGCAGCGGCGGGCCGGGGCGUCGGCGGAGGCUGGAGUGGGCGCGGCGGCCACCGCCGUGGCGUUCCUCAGACUCCGCGACCAGGACUGCGCUGUCCAGUAUAGCCACUAGCUGGAAAAAACAAAAACAAAAAACCUGUUGCCCUGGAGUCCAUUCCGACUCAUAGUGACCCUAUAGGACAGACUAGAACUGCCCCCAUAAGGUUUCCACGGAGCGGCUAGUGAAUUCGAACUGCCGACCUUUUGAAAAAGCAGCUCAGCUAAGAUGAAGUACUUUAUUUGGAGGAAAGCAGGAUGAGAUCUGAAUAAGUACAGGGAAAUUUUGGAUUGGGAAUGGUCAAAGUCAGAAAGAACCUACUUUCUUCAUAAACAUGGGUUGCUUUGGCUAUUCGGAGCCCCUCGCAGUUUCAUAUGAAUUCAAGGAUUGAGUUUCUCAUUUCUGCCAAGAAACUGUUGGAAUUUGUGACUUGUGGAAUUAAAGAGAGAGAUGCCUGAAAACUAGAGACAGAGAAGUAUAUUUUUCAGAAAGGGGAAGAAGGAAGACUAUAGAGCUUGCUAUGGCCCUCAGGAUUUGUUUUCAGGAAGGCAGGAGGAAAGGAAGACAUCUCAGGAUCCCAUUUCAAGGGUCCUUUGGCUACAUUUCCACUGUCAGAACAUUUUCUCCAAGAGUCCUGGGCCAGACACCUGGAUUUCCAGAUGGGUUUUGUAGUCAAGGAGAUUUUAGAGAGGGGAGGUAUUUCAGUUAUGUAGAAAAGUUCAGUUAUCUAAAGAAUUUAUUUUAUAAAAUACCACAAAUCUUUGUGACCUAAAACAACAGCAAUUUUUACUUUUCAUGAUUUUGUGGACUGACUGGUAUCAACUGAGUGGUUUUGUUCCACAUGGUGUAGCUGAGGUCACUCAUGGGCUACAUUUAGCUGGAAGCCCGGCUGGACUAGGACAUCUAAGAUGGCCUCUCAUCCUCUAAUACCUCUCACCAUUUGUUAAUGUAGCCCAAGUUUCUUCAUACCAUGGCAUUUAGCUUCCAAGAAGGAAUAUUUCAAGAGGACAAGCCCCAAUAUGCAAGCACUAAUCAAGCCUCUGCUGGCAUCAUUUUGCUAAUGUCUCAUUGGCCAAAGCAAGUCACAUGAUCAAGUCUGGAGUCAGAGUGGGAGGGGACUACACAAGGGUGCAAACACCAGGAGGUUUUGUUCACUGGAGGCCACCACUAUAAUGAUUUACCACAAGUGAGCAGGGCAGUUUUGCACACUGGAUCCUCAGUUGUCAGUGCUUAGGUAUGGAUGCAUAACCUAAGAUCUGGUCCUUGACUUUGCAGUUGCAGAAACUCUAUGUGAUUAGGAGUUCGUGCUUAGCCCCAUGUGUUUAUCUGAAAUUGCUUCUCAUCAUCACUCGAAGACGUGAAUUUAGGCUGUCAUAGUUUUAUCUCAAGAUUCUGUCGUCUAGGCCACAGAUGGUUGAACCAGAGUGGACACCCGACCUAUGACUCUGUUGGCUGAGCGGACGCAAUUGGACUUUCUCUUAAGACUCUGGAAUGGGAAUACUGAGAGACUAAGAUAUAAACUGGUGAAGAGAUUAUAGAAAAUCUCAUAGAUAGUCUAAAACGAGUUCAGAAAUGUAUCUAAACUCCUGAGAUGACUAGAAAAUGAGACUGCUAAACCAUAGUUUAAGUGGUUAAGCGCUAUGGCUGCCAACCAAAAGGUUGGCUGUUCGAAUCCGCCAGGUGCUCCUUGGAAACUCUAUGGGGUAGUUCUACUCUGUCCUCUAGGGUCGCUAUGAGUCGGAAUCGACUCAGCAACAGUGGUUUUAAACCAUAGUUAUUAAGAGAUUGGCUGCUAACCAAAAGGUUGGCAGUUUGAAUCUACCAGCUGCUUCUUGGAAGCCCUGUGGGCAGUUCUACUUUGUCCUAUAGGGUCGCUAUGAGUUGGAAUCAACUUGAUGGGAACAGGUAUUCACUAGUGGAUAUAUGUUUCUGCUGAUUCUCUUAUGCUCCAUGACAAUAUCUAGCUGCAAGGGAGGCUGGGAAAUGUCAUCUCUAGCUGAGUAGCCAUGCACCCAACUACUAUGGAAGAAGGGGAAAGUGUAUUUCAGUGAAGACUUAGCUGCUGCCUCCUUCCCCCCACCCCCUCCCCACACAGCAUAGUGUUCAAUUCCUGGUUACCUUUCAGGAGGGAGAAAGACAAGAGUGUAUUUACAGGGAGUAAACAGGAUGAUGAAGGCCUUAAAAUCAGGCCAUAAACAGAUUGGUUGAAAACUUGGGGAUCAUUGUAUUGAAUAUUUAGGAAACGAAAUGGCUGCUUUUGAAUGUUUUACGUGCAAAAAGAGAUAAAUGUUAUUCUGUAAAGGCUCCAGGAGUAAAUAUAAUAAGAGGAGUUUGUUUUUUUUUUAACCAGUAACCAGUUGCCAUCAAGUCAGUUCUUAACUCAUGGCUCAGAGAAAUGUAUUUAUGUUCAUUAUAAGAAAAGAAGAUUCUAGCAGAGUUGUCCAGAAUGAUUUACACCUCAGGUACAUUGUGAACUAGAAGAAGAGACCAAAAAAAAAAAAAAAAUUUUUUUUAUUGAGUACCUAUUAUGUGCUCAACACUAUUGAGGCACUUUCACAGAUUUGUUGCUUCCAACUCUGAGAGUCUGUUGCAGCUCCACGUACUUUUCUCCAAACCUUAUUUUUCGUGACUUACUGACAAGCCUGCAAAGAGCAUAUAUGAGUUAAAUUUGUGGGGUAGAGCAUCCUAGGAGUAAACCCUGGAGGGUGUUGUGUAUGUUCAAGUUGUGAGUUCUGUGGUAGAUGGAGAAGUUGGCCAGGGUGCGGAAAGAAGGAAGCAUAUCACUUAGUUAUUUUCUGAUUCUCAGCAGUAACCUGAGAUCUUCCAGAAGGGGUUAUAUACUCCUGACCUGCAUAGCUUUGUGGCGGCCCUCCUGUCUGCCGUAUUACCACACUGCCAAGAAGUAUGAGAUGGCUGCUUUGAAAGCUCUGUCCAAUGUACGAAUGUCCGGUGUCUUCCAUAUAGCUCCUGUGGGUACUAGUGGGAGACAAGAUGCCUUUCUUGAUAUGAGUUCCUGGUUGUUUACUGGAGUCAACAAGACUGUUUUGUCAUUCCUUGUACUUCUGGAUCCAAAGAUCUAAGAGAACAGAGGGGCCCCCAAAUCUGCAAUUCACAUAAACAAAGUGACAGAGUGACAGGAAAUGGGCCAGGGCACAGAAACGAAGACAUUCCCCAGAACGAUGGGGCAGGGUAUCAGAAUCUAGCCCACAAACUUCUUUAAAGUUGUCUCUCAGAAGCAACCAGAUGAAAUGAGCCCCAGAGAUAUGCGUCGAACAUCCACCUGUGACCGCUGUGUGACCUUUCACCAGGGGCAGUGAAGGGCUGCAGCCGCAGCUGGGGAAUCGAACUCAGAGUGAGAGACUGCGCAGGCAUGACACCCCAUAAGUCCUACUAUGAAUUCCAGAGGCCUGUGGGACAGGAGCCAUCUUAGAAAGCAGCUGCGCGUGCACCUUCGGUAGCCUAUCCCCACCCAAAACUGGCUAGUUACCGGAAAACCCCGCCUGUGCCUCUGAAUAAACAUGAAUCUUUUUCACACUCAAGUAUUUAAAAGCCCGUGCAAGUCCUUCGUUCUGUGAGACGGGCGGUAAGCAUUGCCUAGGCCUUCCUUACCUCUGCUUGCAAGCCUCUUCAGUAAAGCUUUGCUGGUGUGCCUUACCUGCUCAUUCUUGACCAGUGAGAGGCAAGAACCUUAUUUAAUUAAAGGCAUAGAGACUCUGGCAACAGUUCUGAAUCUCCUCAAUAUUUCUGCUUGUUUCUCUUUAAUUGAACACUCACCUCAGUCAAUCCUAAGCUCUAAUGUUAUGCUGGUCUACCAGUGUGGACACUGAAGUGACAAAGUUUUAGGAAGAGACCCUAAAACUUUAAACCUCCUUGAAGCUUGUGAUAAACUUUAGUGUUUAUGUGCCCGCAAGUAAGAAUUGCCACACUUCGCUGGGAAGUUGGAGGAGAGCUAAGAGAUUGAAGUAGAAAUGUAUUUGGACAUAAAAAUAUUUUAGUCAAGCUGUGAAGAAGCAGCACAGGGGAUGAUUUGAGGCCCCUGGAGCCAUCAAGUAGCAUGAUUGGCAAUACCGUCUGGAGAACAAGGGUGUUCUGUGUGAACAGUUUCUCACACUUACCCACACUCCACCUUCCAGCCCUGUCUCUGUGUCUUUUAAAUCUAGUGCCUCAGAUUUAGUCAGAUGAUAAUAGACACUUGUCAUGCCUGAGUGAAAGGUUCCAAAGGGAGGUUGGAAGGCUCUUAUAACCCUGAGGAAGAAAGGAUGUUUACAGUCCAGUUGAACCUAUCCACCUAAAGAGCUUUAGUCAGCUUCCUCCCAGUUCGCCUAGUGGAAAGCGCACUUCAUCACAGCAGGUGACAAUUUUUUCCCAAAGAAACACAGAAGGUAGACUCAAAUGAGAAAGGCAUAUUCUUUCAAUUGACUUCCUAAGGCGCUCUAAGCUUUUGUCUUUAGCCUACUUGUAAUAAGUGCCAUCAAAUUAGCCAAGAAUGACUCUAUCUGAGCAUCCAGGAGUAGGGGCCUGUCUAGAAAAAUUAGUGCCUAUGGUAAUUAGUUUUAAAUUGCUGAAUGAUCUCACAGCUGACAAUGGAAACUUCAAUGGCCAAUAGAAACUGCUCAUUAGAGCCCUUCCUCAAGCAGUACUCAGGGUACACGUCCUACUUGCGAUACCUUAGGUACACCUCUGUCAAGAGGAGUGAAACCAAAGAGAGUGUGGGUGGGUACGAUGUCAUUUCUCCUCAUAAGGAUUAUUUCCUUGUUCUAGAUUGCAAAAAGUGAAAUUAUGUUAAAAGAUAUGAACAUUGUGAAGGACCUUGAUACGUGUUGCCGAACUGCCUUCUUGAAAAGUAGUACCAGAUCAUGACACUGAACUCAAGUUCCUUAUAGACCCACUGCUGUCUUUGGACAAUUUCUCAUAGAAAUACACAACGCUAAGGUACUAGGUAUAGUACCUUAGUGUUGUGUAUUUCUAAAGCUAACAGCUGUACUAUAUUCCUGAAUCUUACUACCAGCUCCCAUUCUUACAAUUUAACCAUAACAUUGAUAACUUUUUUUUUUUUAUUGAUAACUUAGAACUCUUUGCCCUACUCACUCUAGGGACUGAGUGUACUUGAAAAAUUAAUUUUAGAGUAAGUCCUUAUAUGUAAAGCUCCCAUUCCAGGAUUAUAUGCACCUGAAUAUAUACCCACUACACUAGGCAUACUCUUGACAUGAGCUUGGCACAUCACCUGGCAGCAUUUUGUUGGAGAAUAUAAAGACAUGUUCCUAAGGAAUCUCAGGGUGCCUCCUACACACACUUUUAAAAAUGUGCUUGUCGUUAAAGUAUUUGCACUGUGUGUAGUCCCUUGAUGCAGAAAUAGACAAAGGAAAAAGGGAGAGAGACUUUGUAACUGUUAUUCAUUGCUGUAUUUCAACACCAAAAACAAUGCCUGGCACAUAGUAGAAGCUCAAUAAAUAUUUGUUAAAUGACUGAGUGAAA
Loxodonta africana (African savanna elephant) is the source of this 5545-nucleotide long non-coding RNA. RefSeq lists it as uncharacterized. The transcript is spliced from 7 exons. The record is from RefSeq and is a predicted model, not a curated record. Lineage: Eukaryota; Metazoa; Chordata; Mammalia; Proboscidea; Elephantidae.